GACGAACGCUGGCGGCGUGCUUAACACAUGCAAGUCGAACGGUGAAGCGCCUUCCUUUUUGGUGGGUGUGGAUGAGUGGCGAACGGGUGAGUAACACGUGAGUAACCUGCCCCCUUCUUCUGGAUAACCGCAUGAAAGUGUGGCUAAUACGGGAUAUUCUGGGUCUGUCGCAUGAUGGGUCUGGGAAAGAUAUUGUUUCGGUGGGGGAUGGGCUCGCGGCCUAUCAGCUUGUUGGUGGGGUGAUGGCCUACCAAGGCGGUGACGGGUAGCCGGCCUGAGAGGGUGGACGGGCACACUGGGACGGAGACACGGCGCAGACUCCUACGGGAGGCAGCAGUGAGGAAUAUUGCACAAUGGGAGGAAGGAUGAUGCAGCGACGCCGCGGGGGGGAUGGAGGCCUUCGGGUUGUGAACCUCUUUCGGCAGUGAAGCAGGCCUGCCUCGUUUGUGGGUGGGUUGACGGUAGCUGGAUAAGAAGCGCCGGCUAACUACGUG
Molecule: ribosomal RNA, 494 nt
Filed under: uncultured bacterium
Lineage: Bacteria
Description: partial 16S ribosomal RNA
Rfam family: Bacterial small subunit ribosomal RNA
Source: RNAcentral